CCUACGGGAGGCAGCAGUGGGGGAUAUUGCACAAUGGGGGAAACCCUGAUGCAGCGACGCCGCGUGUGGGAAGACGGUCCUCUGGAUUGUAAACCACUGUCCCCAGGGACGAGGAUGACGGUACCUGGGGAGGAAGCACCGGCUAACUAAGUGCCAGCAGCCGCGGUAAUACGUAGGGAGCGAGCGUUGUCCGGAAUUACUGGGUGAAAAGGGAGCGUAGGCGGGGAUGCAAGUUGGGUGUCAAAACUACCGGCUCAACUGGUAGUCGCACUCAAAACUGCAGCUCUUGAGUGAAGUAGAGGCAGGCGGAAUUCCUAGUGUAGCGGUGAAAUGCGUAGAUAUUAGGAGGAACACCAGUGGCGAAGGCGGCCUGCUGGGCUUUUACUGACGCUGAGGCUCGAAAGUGUGGGGAGCAAACAGGAUUAGAUACCCGAAUAGUC
RNAcentral lists this ribosomal RNA (440 nucleotides) under uncultured bacterium. RNAcentral describes it as "partial 16S ribosomal RNA". It matches the Rfam family "Bacterial small subunit ribosomal RNA", at positions 338 to 795 of the family's 1533-position model. The record is from RNAcentral.